This 145-nucleotide ribosomal RNA is filed under the name Lactiplantibacillus plantarum. Its description in RNAcentral is "Lactobacillus plantarum partial 16S ribosomal RNA". It matches the Rfam family "Bacterial small subunit ribosomal RNA", at positions 1 to 122 of the family's 1533-position model. The record is from RNAcentral. Lineage: Bacteria; Bacillati; Bacillota; Bacilli; Lactobacillales; Lactobacillaceae.
AUUAAUUUGAGAGUUUGAUCCUGGCUCAGGACGAACGCUGGCGGCGUGCCUAAUACAUGCAAGUCGAACGAACUCUGGUAUUGAUUGGUGCUUGCAUCAUGAUUUACAUUUGAGUGAGUGGCGAACUGGUGAGUAACACGUGGGA